CCCAGAGUCCAGACCAUUCACCCUAGCUCCAUUGGAUUCCUUUUCCAGGCUCUUGUAAACACGGCUGUUGCAUCUAACCCAUGGCACUCGACAGCAGGAGCUGGGGCAAAGAGAAGCAGAGUGCAGAAAUACAAAAAAUCCUGGACAUGGAGGCAUCUGGUGCUGUAACCAUGCUGGUUAGGGAACAGACCAGCUGAAAACCGCAUUGCAGUAUGGAUGACUGAACAACUCACUGAUAAGAGAUUGAAGCUGAAGAAGAAGUUUCUAGGCUUUGCACCCAAGAGCCCACCAACCCUGGGGUCAGGCAGAGGAGAGUUAGCAUUUCCCAGAAGGCCUAACGGGGAAACAAAGAACAAAAGAACACAUUGAGAAAUACCUAAACGCCAGAUAGUCACUACUCCAAGGCGCUCUUUUCUCAGUAUCAAACCAGCAUGGCAACUAGGAUGACGGGUG
This 453-nucleotide long non-coding RNA is filed under the name Ornithorhynchus anatinus (platypus). Its description in RNAcentral is "lncRNA (ENSOANG00000042449.1)". Lineage: Eukaryota; Metazoa; Chordata; Mammalia; Monotremata; Ornithorhynchidae. The record is from RNAcentral.